AUGGCUCCCAUGCCCAAGCGAAUCGUGGAGGACGAGCCGAAGAAGGCGGCGUACGUGACUUUCCUCGCCGGCUCCGGCGACUACUGGAUGGGCGUGGUGGGCGUGGCCAAGGGCCUCCGCGCCGUCAACUCCGCCUACCCGCUCGUGGUGGCCGUGCUCCCCGACGUCCCCAUGGAUCACCGCCGCAAGCUGGUCGAACAGGGCUGCCUCGUCCGCGAGAUCGUGCCCGUGUACCUGCCGGAUAGCCAGACCCAGUUCGCCAUGGCGUACUACGUCAUCAACUACUCCAAGCUCCGCAUUUGA
This 303-nucleotide ribosomal RNA is filed under the name Triticum aestivum (bread wheat). Its description in RNAcentral is "partial small subunit ribosomal RNA". The record is from RNAcentral. Lineage: Eukaryota; Viridiplantae; Streptophyta; Magnoliopsida; Poales; Poaceae.